This is a long non-coding RNA of Lemur catta (Ring-tailed lemur), 912 nucleotides long. RefSeq lists it as uncharacterized. The transcript is spliced from 3 exons. The record is from RefSeq and is a predicted model, not a curated record. Lineage: Eukaryota; Metazoa; Chordata; Mammalia; Primates; Lemuridae.
UGCACUGUUUGCAGUGAGACACAUGUGGCUUUGUGAUGAAGAUGCCAGCUAAGUUCCAAAUCUCUUGGGUGGAGAGUGUAGACUCACAGCAGGAGCAGCCUUCUAAAGAACAGUGACCUAUAAAAUCACAGCUGUUCAAAAGUUGACUUCACAGGCUCUGUAAAAAGCACGUGGGGCUCCCAGUGCUGAGGCUGCACACCUGCGCCAGGUUGGCCCAGGCAGCUCUCCGCAGACACCUGCACCCAGGGCCCCCGAGGCUGCUGACAGGUCAUGCAGCUCUACGUCUCGGCUGGACCCUAGCAGCUGGAAUCACUCCUGUGGACAGAGAUCUCUUGUGUCUCCUAAUAGCUCACUGCUCCAGGCUUCUUUAGAGAGAGAGGGGAGGCCCCUGCACAGACAGCUGCAGUAGCCAGUCUGGAACCCAGUCCCAGCUGGAGUAGGAGAUGGCGGCCUGGCCCUGGGACUCAGGCCCUCGUUAUUCUGGGAUCGCAUGGGACUGGGGCUGAGGCCCAGCACAGGCUGUCAUGCUUCCUUCUCGCCACAAUGGCCCCAACCAGCCCCAUCCCCGGACUCUGACCAGAGCUGGAGGCGACUUGCCCAGACUAGGGGGAUGAGCCCCUUAACCUAGAACCACGGGCUUCACCCCUCGCUCUCCAUUCUGCCUCCUCUUUGACUCUCCUAGCUGCUGCCAGGCCAGGCCACCCAUCCUCUCUCCCCUGAGCAACCUCCCCAGCCACCUAACUGCCCUCCUGCCCACUGCGCCAUCUUCCACCCCCACCCCGAGUCUUGCUAAAAUGCAAUUCACCCUACAUCACUCCUCAUUCAAACCAAGCAGGAGCUCAUCCCCCAAAACCUUUGGGACAGAGGCCAAACCCCUUACUGAGGCCUCUCAGGGCCUGCAAGCGGGGGGGG